RNAcentral lists this ribosomal RNA (471 nucleotides) under uncultured organism. Its description in RNAcentral is "partial 16S ribosomal RNA". It matches the Rfam family "Bacterial small subunit ribosomal RNA", at positions 335 to 797 of the family's 1533-position model. The record is from RNAcentral.
ACUCCUACGGGAGGCAGCAGUGGGGAAUUUUGGACACUGGGGGCAACCCUGAUCCAGCAAUGCCGCGUGAGUGAAGAAGGCCUUCGGGUUGUAAAGCUCUUUUGUCAGGGAAGAAACGGUGGUGGCGAAUGACUACUACUAAUGACGGUACCUGAAGAAUAAGCACCGGCUAACUACGUGCCAGCAGCCGCGGUAAUACGUAGGGUGCAAGCGUUAAUCGGAAUUACUGGGCGUAAAGCGUGCGCAGGCGGUUGUGUAAGUCAGAUGUGAAAUCCCCGGGCUCAACCUGGGAAUUGCAUUUGAGACUGCACGGCUAGAGUGUGUCAGAGGGGGGUAGAAUUCCACGUGUAGCAGUGAAAUGCGUAGAUAUGUGGAGGAAUACCGAUGGCGAAGGCAGCCCCCUGGGAUAACACUGACGCUCAUGCACGAAAGCGUGGGGAGCAAACAGGAUUAGAUACCCCAGUAGUCCCA